RNAcentral lists this long non-coding RNA (3195 nucleotides) under Homo sapiens (human). Its description in RNAcentral is "non-protein coding lnc-DNAJB7-2:4". The record is from RNAcentral. Lineage: Eukaryota; Metazoa; Chordata; Mammalia; Primates; Hominidae.
CUGCAGCCCUGGGGCCCGGGAGGACUGCGGCCGCGGAACGUCGUAGAGGAUCAGGGAAGGUUCAGGGUCGACCUCCAGACUCAGUCCUUGGGUUGGGUGGCAGGGUGGGGGCACUAGGGUGGGGAGAUCUCGAGUUUAGGCCAUAAAAAAGAUCAGAAAGAGAAGAGCCCGAGAGAGAGGUGGCCCACCUUGGCCCCGGAGCUUGGGAGGGCGGGUCCCGGCUGGGGUUCGUGGGAUCUGGACCCACUCGCCCCCCGGGACGCGAGCGCGGCGGGGACCGGGCGCGCGAGGCUGCGCCGAGAGAGGGCGCCGGCCCAGGUGCGGCCUCUGGGUGUGGCCGAAGCCAGCCCAGGCGGCCCGGAUUGUCGUCCUCUGCGGAAGCGGCCCGGGCGCGGGAGCCGCGGGCGUAGCCAGCUCCGGAGCCCCGCGCCUCCGCCGCCCCGCGCGCCCUUCCUUUGUGUCUCCCAAGCAGGGGUGAACGCAGACCACUUGGAUUUGAUUUUUCCGUGCGAGUUCCCUUUUUUCCAAGUUCGGGGCCCCUCCUUCCCCCAGCGGCGCGCGCCCCCGGGGUGUCCGCCCCCUCCCCCUCCGGCCCAGCCCUGGGCGGGGCAGACGCCCUUGGAGUCGGGAGAAAAGACUAUCUGAUUUCAAAACCGACGCGACCCGAGCUGGGCUGCGGAAAUGGCGCCCAUGUCCCGGCUCCGGCCAGGUCGUGAUCAGGAGACAGACUGAGGAGCCUCUCCCCACCGCAAUCCCUUUAUACUGGGUAGGGGUUCGAAGGCACAGGGACAGAGUAUACAGGACACUGCUUGAGGCAGCGCGUCCACCCACCAUCUGUGCGACCUCAUCAAGUCACCUCUCUGAGCCUCAGUUUCCCGGUAUAAUGGAAACGGCAAUUUUAAAUGACACGUAAGUGCCUGGCACUCAUUGAGCUCAUCAAAUGAAGAGCCCCGUCUCUGGGCCCCCUUGCCCCUGAGGGAAAUGCACACACAAACCUAGAAAAUGUGCUGUAAUGCACAAUGUGGGACAGACCCAGUCACUCUCCUUUCAUUCUUCUUCCAUCGAAUAUUCUGAGGCUUCGGCGCCAGCCCUUUGCCGGCGGAUGCUGCCGAGAUGAAGACAGCAUGCUCGGCCUGGUGAAGCCAAUAAAAGAGCAGGCUCCCCUCCUGGGGCCAGGUGUCACCACAGAAGCAGGCCCUGGAAGAUGCCAGGAGCCAGCCAGCCCAGGGCCCUGUCCUACCCCCGGCCCUUCCGCGGGCGAGAGCCCAGGAUCUCCAGGUCCUGCCCUGCACUUGGAGAUUUGCUCCCUAACAGGUUUUUGGUUUUGUUUUUUUGAAUAGAGGCGGGGUUUUGCCGUGUUGCCCAGGCUGGUCUCAAACUCCUGGGCUCAAGCAAUCCUCCUGCCUCAGCCUCCCCAAAUUCUGGAAUUACAGGCGUGAGCCACAUGCCCAGUCUGUUGUUUUUCCUUUCUUUUCUUUUCUUUCUUUCUUUCUUUUUUUAGAGACGGUCUCUCUUGCCUCACUUUUUUUUUUUUUUUUUUUGAGACAGUGUCUUACUCAGUUCACCCAGGCUGGAGUGCAGUGGCGUGGUUUUGGCUCACUGCAACCUCUGCCGCCCAGGUUCGAGCAAUUCUCCUACCUCAGCCUCCCGAGUAGCUGGGAUUACAGGCACCUGCCACAGCGCCCUGCUAAUUUUUGUAUUUUUAGUAGAGACGGGGUUUCACCAUAUUGGUCAGGCUGGUCUUGAACUCCUGACCUCGUGAUCCACCUGCUUUGGCCUCCCAAAGUGCUGGGAUUACAGGUGUGAGCCACCACACCUGGCUCGCCUCACAUGUUUUUAAAAGAUCCAGUGUCCUGAUGGCUCUUGGUGCUCUUCCCAGAUGAUGGUAAAAUGCUCAGUGUGGACCAAGAGAAGCCUGACCCUGACAAACAUCCUUUUUUCUUUACACAUCUGAAUUUUGAUGAGCUCUGAAGGGAACUCGAUUUCUCCGCAGCCGUCCUGAGUUCUGUGGUGCUUAGUGUCUGAUGCCUUCAUCUUCCUUUAGUUUCAACACUGUGUAUAACUUAGUCCUCUCCAGGACCUGUCCCCCAGCUCUGGGGAGGGACCAAAGCUGUACAGUAGGUGAAUAGUGAGUAACUGGAUGAAGUGUUCUUUUGUCUCUCUGAAUGCUCCCCAGAGCCAUAAGGAAUUAAUAAUCUUGGCUACUGGGCUGGGAGCAGUGGCUCACACCUGUAAUCCCAGCACCUUGGCAAGCCAAGAUGGGAGGAUUGCUUGAGGCCAGGAGUUCGAGACCAGCCUGGGCAACAGUGAGGCCCUGUCUCUACAACAAACAAGCAAACAAACAAACAAGAACAACAAAAAAACUCAGCUACCACUUCAUGAGUAUCUAUGCUGCGCCAGGGACUACUUCAGAUAUGAGGCCUCACUCCAUCACCCAGGCUGGAUUGCAGAGACACGAUCAUAGCUCACUACAGCCUCUAACUCUUGGGUUCAAGCGAUCCUCUCACCUCAGCCUCCAUAGUUCUUAGCUGGGACUACAAGUGUGCAGCAUCACACCUGGCUAAUAAUUCCAUCCUUAACCCUCUGCGAGGGAUGCCAUUUGCCUUCUGAAUAAACCCAGACUCCUUCAGGAGGCUUACAAGGUCCUGGGCCACAUUUUUAGCCUUUCUUCCAUCCACUCCACCACAGACUUUAAGAUGCAGUAAAAAUGGUUCUCACUUCCUUGCCUUACCACAGCUGUGCCAUCCACCUGUCGUGCCCACUACCCAUCUGCCUCUUCAGGCAGGACUGUGUGGAUUGGAUGUUGCCAGAUCACAGUGGCCUGUUCACUCUCCUGGUUCCUCCUCAAGGACUGAGCACCUUAAUUGCAUGUCAGUCUUAUUGUACUUGGACUCCCUCAUGUCUACCGCGGCAUAUGUGGAGUGAGUGAGUGAGUGAAUGAAUGAAUGAAUGAAGGGGUUAAGAUUUGGACCAGCUUGUCCCUGAGGGGUCCAGUGAGUUUCGAAGAUGUACCUCAAGCAAAUAAUCAUAAUCAGGUUGCAUGCCCACCCAAUGCCAGCAGAGGAGACCAGAGACCAGCGGGCAGGUGGAAGCUGUGCCCCCAGGAGUCUAAGAAGUCUCUGGCCUGGCCAGAGGGUACUUCCAAAGCCUGUGUGAGAAGUUCCAUCUUCCCGUCCCUCAUCUCAGGCCAACUCU